UACGUAGGGGGCAAGCGUUGUCCGGAUUUAUUGGGCGUAAAGAGCGUGUAGGCGGCCAGGUAGGUCCGUUGUGAAAACUCGAGGCUCAACCUCGAGACGUCGGCGGAAACCCUCUGGCUAGAGUCCGGAAGAGGAGAGUGGAAUUCCUGGUGUAGCGGUGAAAUGCGCAGAUAUCGGGAAGAACACCCGUGGCUAAGGCGGCUCUCUAGUACGGUACUGACGCUGAGACGCGAAAGCGUGGGGAGCGAACAGG
This 253-nucleotide ribosomal RNA is filed under the name uncultured bacterium. RNAcentral's name for it is "partial 16S ribosomal RNA". It matches the Rfam family "Bacterial small subunit ribosomal RNA", at positions 524 to 776 of the family's 1533-position model. The record is from RNAcentral.